CAGUCACACGAGUUUGAUCAUGGCUCAGAUUGAACGCUGGCGGCAUGCCUUACACAUGCAAGUCGAACGGUAACGGGCCUUCGGGUGCCGACGAGUGGCGAACGGGUGAGUAAUGCAUCGGAACGUACCUUUCAGUGGGGGAUAACGAAUCGAAAGAUUCGCUAAUACCGCAUACGACCUGAGGGUGAAAGCGGGGGAUCGCAAGACCUCGCGCGAGAGGAGCGGCCGAUGGCGGAUUAGCUAGUUGGUGGGGUAAAGGCCCACCAAGGCGACGAUCCGUAGCUGGUCUGAGAGGAUGAUCAGCCACACUGGAACUGAGACACGGUCCAGACUCCUACGGGAGGCAGCAGUGGGGAAUAUUGGACAAUGGGGGCAACCCUGAUCCAGCCAUGCCGCGUGUGUGAAGAAGGCCUUCGGGUUGUAAAGCACUUUUGUUGGGGAAGAAACCGGCCGGGUUAAUACCCUGGUUGAAUGACGGUACCCAAAGAAUAAGCACCGGCUAACUUCGUG
This 510-nucleotide ribosomal RNA is filed under the name uncultured bacterium. RNAcentral's name for it is "bacterial SSU rRNA". It matches the Rfam family "Bacterial small subunit ribosomal RNA", at positions 1 to 507 of the family's 1533-position model. The record is from RNAcentral.